This 253-nucleotide ribosomal RNA is filed under the name uncultured bacterium. Its description in RNAcentral is "partial 16S ribosomal RNA". It matches the Rfam family "Bacterial small subunit ribosomal RNA", at positions 524 to 776 of the family's 1533-position model. The record is from RNAcentral.
UACGUAGGGCGCGAGCGUUGUCCGGAAUUAUUGGGCGUAAAGAGCUCGUAGGCGGUUUGUCGCGUCUGCUGUGAAAACCCGAGGCUCAACCUCGGGCCUGCAGUGGGUACGGGCAGACUAGAGUGCGGUAGGGGAGAUUGGAAUUCCUGGUGUAGCGGUGGAAUGCGCAGAUAUUAGGAGGAACACCAAUGGCGAAGGCAGAUCUCUGGGCCGUAACUGACGCUGAGGAGCGAAAGCAUGGGGAGCGAACAGG